Long non-coding RNA from Cannabis sativa, 237 nucleotides. RefSeq lists it as uncharacterized. The record is from RefSeq and is a predicted model, not a curated record. Lineage: Eukaryota; Viridiplantae; Streptophyta; Magnoliopsida; Rosales; Cannabaceae. The transcript has 2 exons.
AGGCACCUUCGAUCGUCUUCUCCAAAAUCAAAAAUUUUAUCGACUGAAGACCGAGCUUCAGCAACGAUCGCCGCCUCCGAUCGUCUUCUCCAGCUCUAGUAUGGAACAAAUCAUGUGUGUCAUCAAAUAUGGGGGUCAAUGGAGAGAAAAUACAAAUUAUGAUGACUACACAAUGACGGGAAUUCUAAUUUCAACCAAUUCAUCACUAGCAAGCUUGAUGGAGCUGAUAAAAAUAGA